UACAGGGGGUGCAAACGUUGCUCGGAAUCAUUGGGCGUAAAGCGCACGUAGGCGGUUCGUUAUGUCGGAUGUGAAAGCCCUUGGCUUAACCGAGGAAGUGCAUCCGAAACUGGCGAGCUAGAGUACUAAAGAGGAUCGCGGAAUUCCCGGUGUAGAGGUGAAAUUCGUAGAUAUCGGGAGGAACACCGGUGGCGAAGGCGGCGAUCUGGGCCAGUACUGACGCUGAUGCGCGAAAGCGUGGGGAGCGAACAGG
This 253-nucleotide ribosomal RNA is filed under the name uncultured bacterium. Its description in RNAcentral is "partial 16S ribosomal RNA". It matches the Rfam family "Bacterial small subunit ribosomal RNA", at positions 524 to 776 of the family's 1533-position model. The record is from RNAcentral.